UAUGAAUCUAGUGGAAUCACUUCCGCACAAACUAGAUGAAUGAAACCAGUGUGCGGAAAUGCUUCUGCUACAUUUUUA
Non-coding RNA from Anolis carolinensis (green anole), 78 nucleotides. NCBI's taxonomy places the organism in Eukaryota, Metazoa, Chordata, Lepidosauria, Squamata, Anolidae. The record is from Rfam.